RNAcentral lists this ribosomal RNA (270 nucleotides) under uncultured archaeon. RNAcentral's name for it is "partial 16S ribosomal RNA". It matches the Rfam family "Archaeal small subunit ribosomal RNA", at positions 477 to 747 of the family's 1478-position model. The record is from RNAcentral.
CAGCACCUCAAGUGGUCAGGAUGAUUAUUGGGCCUAAAGCAUCCGUAGCCGGCUCUGUAAGUUUUCGGUUAAAUCUGUACGCUCAACGUACAGGCUGCCGGGAAUACUGCAAAGCUAGGGAGUGGGAGAGGUAGACGGUACUCGGUAGGAAGGGGUAAAAUCCUUUGAUCUAUUGAUGACCACCUGUGGCGAAGGCGGUCUACCAGAACACGUCCGACGGUGAGGGAUGAAAGCUGGGGGAGCAAACCGGAUUAGAGACCCGAGUAGUCC